This 492-nucleotide ribosomal RNA is filed under the name uncultured bacterium. RNAcentral's name for it is "partial 16S ribosomal RNA". It matches the Rfam family "Bacterial small subunit ribosomal RNA", at positions 28 to 507 of the family's 1533-position model. The record is from RNAcentral.
GACGAACGCUGGCGGCGUGCUUAACACAUGCAAGUCGCACGGUGACGCUCUCUUUUUUUUUGUGUGUGUGGAUGUGUGGAGAGCGGGUGUGUAACACGAGUGUAACCUGCCCCCUUCCUCGGUAUCAGCGCAAGAAAGUGUCGCUAACGCGGUAUUCUCGGGGUCUCUCGCAUUAUGGCUGGGGAAGAGAUUUUUUUUCUGGGGGGGGGGCUCGCGGCCUAUCAGCUUGUUGGUGGGGUGAUGGCCUACCAAGGCGGUGACGGGUAGCCGGCCUGUGAGGGUGGACGGUCACACUGGGACUGAGACACGGCCCAGACUCCUACGGGAGGCAGCAGUGGGGAAUAUUGCACAAUGGGCGCAAGCCUGAUGCAGCGACGCCGCGUGAGGGAUGGAGGCCUUCGGGUUGUGAACCUCUUUCGCCAGUGAAGCAGGCCUGCCUCGUUUGUGGGUGGGUUGACGGUAGCUGGAUAAGAAGCGCCGGCUAACUACGUG